Molecule: ribosomal RNA, 458 nt
Filed under: uncultured Streptococcus sp.
Lineage: Bacteria; Bacillati; Bacillota; Bacilli; Lactobacillales; Streptococcaceae
Description: bacterial SSU rRNA
Rfam family: Bacterial small subunit ribosomal RNA
Source: RNAcentral
GCACAAGCGGUGGAGCUAUGUGUUUAAUCGAAGCAACGCGAAGUAACCUUACCAGGUCUUGACAUCCCGAUGCUUAUUUCUAGAGAUAGAAAGUUACUUCGGUACAUCGGUGACAGGUGGUGCAUGGUUGUCGUCAGCUCGUGUCGUGAGAUGUUGGGUUAAGUCCCGCAACGAGCGCAACCCCUAUUGUUAGUUGCCAUCAUUCAGUUGGGCACUCUAGCGAGACUGCCGGUAAUAAACCGGAGGAAGGUGGGAUGACGUCAAAUCAUCAUGCCCCUUAUGACCUGGGCUACACACGUGCUACAAUGGUUGGUACAACGAGUUGCGAGUCGGUGACGGCGAGCUAAUCUCUUAAAGCCAAUCUCAGUUCGGAUUGUAGGCUGCAACUCGCCUACAUGAAGUCGGAAUCGCUAGUAAUCGCGGAUCAGCACGCCGCGGUGAAUACGUUCCCGGGCCUU